AUUGAACGCUGGCGGCAUGCCUUACACAUGCAAGUCGAACGGUAACAGGUUAAGCUGACGAGUGGCGAACGGGUGAGUAAUAUAUCGGAACGUGCCCAGUCGUGGGGGAUAACUGCUCGAAAGAGCAGCUAAUACCGCAUACGACCUGAGGGUGAAAGCGGGGGAUCGCAAGACCUCGCGCGAUUGGAGCGGCCGAUAUCAGAUUAGGUAGUUGGUGGGGUAAAGGCCCACCAAGCCAACGAUCUGUAGCUGGUCUGAGAGGACGACCAGCCACACUGGGACUGAGACGCGGCCCAGAAUCCUACGGGAGGCAGCAGUGGGGAAUUUUGGAAAAUGGGCGCAAGCCUGAUCCAGCCAUGCCGCGUGCGGGAAGAAGGCCUUCGGGUUGUAAACCGCUUUUGUCAGGGAAGAAAAGGUUCUGGUUAAUACCUGGGACUCAUGACGGUACCUGAAGAAUAAGCACCGGCUAACUACGUGCCAGCAGCCGCCGUAA
RNAcentral lists this ribosomal RNA (493 nucleotides) under uncultured bacterium. RNAcentral's name for it is "partial 16S ribosomal RNA". It matches the Rfam family "Bacterial small subunit ribosomal RNA", at positions 30 to 523 of the family's 1533-position model. The record is from RNAcentral.